UCUCCGUUGGUGAACCAGCGGAGGGAUCAUUACAGAGUUAUCUAACUCCCAAACCCAUGUGAACUUACCAUUUGUUGCCUCGGCAGAGCCUACCCGGGAACGGUUCGGAGAAGCUACACUGUAGCUACCCUGGAACGGCCUACCCUGUAACGCACGGCCGGUGGACUUGUCAACUCUUGUUAUUAUAUAGUAAUCUGAGCGUCUUAUUUGAAUAAGUCAAAACUUUCAACAACGGAUCUCUUGGUUCUGGCAUCGAUGAAGAACGCAGC
Molecule: unclassified non-coding RNA, 269 nt
Filed under: uncultured fungus
Lineage: Eukaryota; Fungi
Description: sequence contains ITS1, 5.8S rRNA gene
Rfam family: 5.8S ribosomal RNA (bases 221-269)
Source: RNAcentral